Molecule: ribosomal RNA, 253 nt
Filed under: uncultured bacterium
Lineage: Bacteria
Description: partial 16S ribosomal RNA
Rfam family: Bacterial small subunit ribosomal RNA
Source: RNAcentral
UACGUAGGGGGCAAGCGUUGUCCGGAAUCAUUGGGCGUAAAGCGCGUGUAGGCGGCCCGGAAAGUCUGGUGUGAAAACUUGAGGCUCAACCUCAAGCUGUCACUGGAUACUAUCGGGCUUGAGUCCGGAAGAGGAGAGUGGAAUUCCUGGUGUAGCGGUGGAAUGCGCAGAUAUCAGGAGGAACACCAAUGGCGAAGGCAGCUCUCUGGUACGUGACUGACGCUGAGACGCGAAAGCGUGGGGAGCAAACAGG